RNAcentral lists this ribosomal RNA (285 nucleotides) under Triticum aestivum (bread wheat). Its description in RNAcentral is "partial small subunit ribosomal RNA". The record is from RNAcentral. Lineage: Eukaryota; Viridiplantae; Streptophyta; Magnoliopsida; Poales; Poaceae.
AUGGAAGGAGAUGAAAUUGUUCAAAAUCCAGGUGUUGGGCAAGUUGCUAGGAAAUAUAAAACCCUCAAUGACCAGCAAAAAUUUGCUGCUUAUGUAGCAAUGCAUACACUGUGUAUGAGUAGAGGAGGCACUUUUUUGGGAACUGAUAAGCAAGACAUUGCAAAAAAAUUUGGAGUGGGUGUUUGGAAUAUACAAAGAAUUUGGAGGAAAGCAAUGAAGCAAAUUAGCGAAGGUAAAGAGGUGGAUGUUUCUAAUAAAAAAAGGAAAUUCUGGAAGAAAGCCUAA